CUCUCCCUGAAGAUGGCUGCAGAGGCCCAGGGCCGGGCUCCGCGUUGCUGACAAUGUCCCCUGGGCUGCGCCCGGGACUGGAGAAGCGGGUCACCUGCCGCCGCGCCGCCUGGUCUCAGCAGUCCGCGGGGACGCGCGCUACCAAGAGUGGAGAAUCCGAGUGGGGCAGGCCUAGUCCAGGGACUGGGAAGAGAUAGUCGCAUGGACUGGGCGCCAAGAAGCUUGCUGAUCGCGCGCGCCCCACGGCAGCCCUGGGGAUGCAGAGGGGUGGCGUGAGAUGCUCACGGAGCUGCAGCUGGUUCGGAGUGGAUGGGCAGAGUUCCCCUCUGAAAUCUUAUGAAGAUCCUUCUCCCACUCUCCACCGAAGUGCUCAACGGCCAGCACACGCAUACAAUUUUCUUGCAGUAUUUUGUUUUGUUUUUGAGCUCACCAGAAACUCAGAGAGUAAAGAAAUACUGUUAAAGGAAGUUCCUGAACUGGGCAGACAGUACAACCCUGUGUGGUUUUCUCGGUGCAAGGGUUAGAAACAAAACCGAUACCAAGCAAGGAAGGAGGCCAGCCAACGUCACUGGUCAACAGGUUGGCCAAUUCUUUCCUUCAUUUAUCCCUCUGAAUGCCUAGGUGCCAGCCUGAGAUAGGCACUGGAUUACCACAGGGGUAAACAAGAACAGGGCCCCUGCGGUCACAAAGACAGCCUAGUGGGAAAGCUUGUCACUCACCGAGGAAACAUGCUAUUAAAGGGAUAACUAAAAACUGAACGCAGAUCUGUGAGACCCUGACAGCUGCAGGGGUUCAGGAUGUAAUCCGGGAAGGUUUGCCUGAAGAAAUGGCAUCCGAGCUGAGACCUGAAGGAUGACAUUAGGCAAGGAGGAAAACCAUGUGCUAAGUGGUCUCCCACAGAAAGAAACAUGAUGUGUUGGAGGAAUUUAAGGAAAGCUAGUGUGGGUAAAGAGCAGAGAACUGCGUGGGGAUGAUGGGAAGUGGAGCUAAAGGAGGAGGCAAGGGUCGUAUUACUCAGGGUAUUACAGGCCAGAGGCCUUCAAACACUUUUUGAGAAGGCCCAUAAUGAGAAAAGUUUCAUGAAAUAAUUCUUAUGCUUAUGAUUGGCAUUACAAUUUCAUAUUUCUGUUCUACUUCACUGUUUUAAAAAAGUGCUGGUCUUGACCCACUAAAUUGUUUCUAUGAGCCAGUAAUGGUUCAUGACCUGCAGUUUGCAGAAAAAUAUUAUAAAUCAUGUUGAGGAUUUUCAUCUUUUAAAGGUGGUGACUCUAUCCUUUUCGCUCUCAGGGUGAGACUGGUAGAUUGAAGUGGCCCAGAAUAAAUGGGUGGCUCACACCUGUAACCCCAGCACUUUGGGAGGCUGAGGCAGGCGAAUCACCUGAGAUCGGGAGUUCGAGACCAGCCUGCCCAACAUGGUGAAACCUUUCUCUACUAAAAACACAAAAAAUUAGCUGGGUGUAGUGGCAGGCCCCUGUAAUCCCAGCUGCUCGGGUAGCAGAGUCAGGAGAAUAGCUUGAACCCAGGAGGCGGAGGUUGCAGUGAGCUGAGAUCACACCGCGGCACUCCAGCCUGGACAACAGAGCCAGACUCUGUCUCAAAAAAAAAAAGAAAAAAGAAAAAGAAAAACACCCCACAAUUGCCACAAUCCAGAUGAGAGAUGGUAGCUUGGACUAGGAUGGUAGGAUGGUGGCAGCAGAGAUAGGGUCAGGGCAGCUACCCAGGGCCAAGGCCUGUACUCAUCUUACGAUGUCAUCUGUUUCUCCAGUGUGCCACUACAGGGACUGAGGACAGAGCCUGUUGAUGCUUGCCUAAGCUGGCACAGCCAGUGAGUCCUGAGGCAGAUUUGAAACAGGUCUCUGAUUCCCAAGCCUGGCCUUUUCUUUUAACUCACAGCACAUCUGUAAAAUGAGGCCAUAAAGAAGGAAGCUAUUCAAGAGAUUAUACAUUGGAACUUAAGAACAAAUUUCUUACAGGUUUUAAUGCCGAAAAUGUUGACUAUGUUUGGUCCCAGAAAUGAAACCAAAGUUUGUAUCUUAGUUUUUAGAAAAAGGAGGGGACACAUUUAGUGUAAUGUCACAGAAGAGGCUAGACUUGAAGUCCCCUUUGAUCUGGAUGAUGACUGAUCAUCUGGUACUAGUAUCUCAGUCAUCUCAUCCUUGUAGGCUUCAAUCAAGUCCUCCCACAGGGAUGAUGCUGGGAGGAUUAUAGGUUUUAUAGGAUUUUAAAAAUAUUUACAUUAUUUUAUAAGGUUGAGUAUAGGGUUCCCCAGUGUUGACUUAUGAUGUCAAUCAUAAAGAUAUA
Molecule: long non-coding RNA, 2301 nt
Filed under: Macaca fascicularis (crab-eating macaque)
Lineage: Eukaryota; Metazoa; Chordata; Mammalia; Primates; Cercopithecidae
Description: lncRNA (ENSMFAG00000059654.1)
Source: RNAcentral